This 106-nucleotide small nucleolar RNA is filed under the name Gossypium hirsutum (cotton). RNAcentral's name for it is "Plant small nucleolar RNA R71". It matches the Rfam family "Plant small nucleolar RNA R71". Rfam says of the family: R71 is a member of the C/D box family of snoRNAs containing the C (UGAUGA) and D (CUGA) box motifs. The record is from Rfam by way of RNAcentral. Lineage: Eukaryota; Viridiplantae; Streptophyta; Magnoliopsida; Malvales; Malvaceae.
AUCCCGUGGUGAGGGCAUUUACGAAGUAACUCUUUGAAUCAUUCCCAUGCCUCGUAUAGGGAUUCAUCAUCCAUAUUCUAAAAAGUGGUGAUCUCAUUCUGUAACU